UUCGCCUACGGGGGGCAGCAGUGGGGAAUAUUGCACAAUGGGGGAAACCCUGAUGCAGCGACGCCGCGUGAGUGAAGAAGUAUUUCGGUACGUAAAGCUCUAUCAGCAGGGAAGAAAGAAAGUCCUUUGGACUUUGGACGGUACCUGACCAAGAAGCCCCGGCUAACUACGUGCCAGCAGCCGCGGUAAUACGUAGGUGGCAAGCGUUGUCCGGAAUUACUGGGUGUAAAGGGAGCGUAGGCGGGAAGCCAAGUCAGCUGUGAAAACUACGGGCUUAACCUGUAGACUGCAGUUGAAACUGGCUU
Molecule: ribosomal RNA, 305 nt
Filed under: uncultured bacterium
Lineage: Bacteria
Description: bacterial SSU rRNA
Rfam family: Bacterial small subunit ribosomal RNA
Source: RNAcentral